Molecule: ribosomal RNA, 254 nt
Filed under: uncultured bacterium
Lineage: Bacteria
Description: partial 16S ribosomal RNA
Rfam family: Bacterial small subunit ribosomal RNA
Source: RNAcentral
UACAGAGGGGGCAAGCGUUAUUCGGAAUUAUUGGGCGUAAAGGGCGCGUAGGCGGUCGUGACAAGUCACUUGUGAAAUCUCCGGGCUUAACUCGGAACGGUCAAGUGAUACUGUCGGACUAGAGUACAGAAGGGGCAACUGGAAUUCUCGGUGUAGCGGUGAAAUGCGUAGAUAUCGAGAGGAACACCUGCGGCGAAGGCGGGUUGCUGGGCUGAUACUGACGCUGAGGCGCGAAAGCCAGGGGAGCGAACGGG